This 406-nucleotide long non-coding RNA is filed under the name Theobroma cacao (cacao). RNAcentral's name for it is "long non-coding RNA (TCAC_LNC002858)". Lineage: Eukaryota; Viridiplantae; Streptophyta; Magnoliopsida; Malvales; Malvaceae. The record is from RNAcentral.
UUGAAGUCUUGUGGCAUUCUAAGGUGGCUGGUCAAAGCUAGCUUUCUCUCUCAAUUUUAUUUUUCUUUUGAAACAUGCUUGGCAGAGUCCCUUAUUAUUGUUCGCUAUACUUUGUUUAGUAUUAUUGAUUUGGUUUAUCUAGCAAAUAAAAAACAGAUAUGAUUUUAUUAAUGUUUGGCCCUAUGUGACUCACACGUUGAAUGAAUUGAACAGAAUGAAACAAAGGAAGAGAGCUUAAAUAUCUCCAUUCCCGACUCAGAUAGAUUAAAUACAUCCAUGACCGGGAUUCAGAACACGACAACACCCCGGAAUGAAUCCAUUGCUCUUCCCUUGAAUCAAAGUAGACAAGUGCGGACCAAAUUGGAUAAGCUUGAAGCAGGUCUACAAAGAGCUCGAGCCGCCAUAA